RNAcentral lists this ribosomal RNA (479 nucleotides) under Salmonella enterica subsp. enterica serovar Typhimurium. RNAcentral's name for it is "bacterial SSU rRNA". It matches the Rfam family "Bacterial small subunit ribosomal RNA", at positions 38 to 505 of the family's 1533-position model. Lineage: Bacteria; Pseudomonadati; Pseudomonadota; Gammaproteobacteria; Enterobacterales; Enterobacteriaceae. The record is from RNAcentral.
GGUGGCGUGCUUUAACACAUGCAAGUCGAACGGUAACAGGAAGCAGCUUGCUGCUUUGCUGACGAGUGGCGGACGGGUGAGUAAUGUCUGGGAAACUGCCUGAUGGAGGGGGAUAACUACUGGAAACGGUGGCUAAUACCGCAUAACGUCGCAAGACCAAAGAGGGGGACCUUCGGGCCUCUUGCCAUCAGAUGUGCCCAGAUGGGAUUAGCUUGUUGGUGAGGUAACGGCUCACCAAGGCGACGAUCCCUAGCUGGUCUGAGAGGAUGACCAGCCACACUGGAACUGAGACACGGUCCAGACUCCUACGGGAGGCAGCAGUGGGGAAUAUUGCACAAUGGGCGCAAGCCUGAUGCAGCCAUGCCGCGUGUAUGAAGAAGGCCUUCGGGUUGUAAAGUACUUUCAGCGGGGAGGAAGGUGUUGUGGUUAAUAACCGCAGCAAUUGACGUUACCCGCAGAAGAAGCACCGGCUAACUCCG